This 816-nucleotide ribosomal RNA is filed under the name Pyxidinopsis psilata. RNAcentral's name for it is "partial large subunit ribosomal RNA". It matches the Rfam family "Eukaryotic large subunit ribosomal RNA", at positions 71 to 788 of the family's 3401-position model. Lineage: Eukaryota; Dinophyceae. The record is from RNAcentral.
AGGAUUCCUUUAGUAAUGGCGAAUGAACAGGGAGUUGCUCAGUGUGGGAAUCGGGGUCAGUGGCCUUGAGUUGUAGUCUGCAGAUGUUAUGCCAAUGGGGAUGUUGAUGCAAGCCUCUUGGAAAAGAGCAUGAAAGAGGGUGAGAGUCCCGUCUGGCAUCUGCUUUCCCCAUGUACGGCAAACCCUCUAAGAGUCACGUUCCUUGGGCCUGGAGCGCAAACUGGGUGGUAAUCUCCAUCUAAAGCUUAAUAUGUGUUCAAGACCGAUAGCAAACAAGUACCAUGAGGGAAAGGUGAAAAGGACUUUCAAAAGAGUGUUAAAAGUGUCUGAACUUGCUGAGAUGAAAGCGAAUGGAACCAAUGCCGUUUGGUGAGAUUUCUGUGCCCACUGGUACGCGUUUGCUACUGCAAUGCAAGUGCUGUAGUAGAUGUGGUGCUGAUGCGUGCAGUGUUUCUCUUCUUGACAUGUUGCUGUCAGUCUGCUUCUGUGAAAAAUGCCUGGUGCAUGGUGAGUUUCCUUUCUGUGACUGAAUGUGCCUGACUGAACACACCUGCUUACUGAACUCUGUGUGUCUAGCUGCAAUGAUCUGUGGUGCAAGGGUUUGCUGGAAGGGCCUAAUCCUUCUGCUCACGCUGCACCUGCAGAUCAUAUUCUUGAUGCAACCACAGCGACAAAGUGGACCUAUUCGACCCGUCUUGAAACACGGACCAAGGAGUCUAACAUGUGUGCAAGCUCUUUGGUGAGCAAACCUACUAGCACAAUGAAAGUGUUUGCUGGGAUAUCUGCACCAGCAGUGGACCAAUUAAUUGGGAGAGG